UCAGACCUGACAACUUUGUCUUUGGUCAAUCCGGUGCCGGUAAUAACUGGGCCAAGGGUCAUUACACUGAGGGAGCCGAAUUAGUGGACUCUGUUUUAGAUGUCGUCCGCAAGGAAGCUGAGGGCUGUGAUUGUCUGCAAGGCUUUCAAAUCACUCAUUCCCUCGGUGGUGGUACUGGUGCUGGAAUGGGAACCCUUCUAAUCUCAAAGAUUCGUGAAGAGUUCCCAGAUCGUAUGAUGGCUACUUUCUCUGUUGUUCCAUCCCCGAAGGUCUCCGAUACCGUCGUCGAGCCUUACAACGCUACCCUAUCAGUCCAUCAAUUGGUCGAAAAUUCCGAUGAAACAUUUUGUAUCGAUAAUGAGGCUCUUUAUGACAUUUGCUUCCGUACCCUCAAACUUGCCACUCCUACCUAUGGCGAUCUAAACCAUCUCGUUUCGAUCGUGAUGAGUGGUAUUACCACCUGUCUCCGAUUUCCAGGUCAACUCAACUCUGACCUUCGUAAACUGGCCGUAAAUAUGGUUCCAUUCCCUCGAUUGCAUUUCUUUAUGGUCGGGUUUGCCCCAUUGACAGCUCGUGGUAGCCAGCAAUAUCGUGCAAUUACUGUACCAGAGCUAACCUCUCAGAUGUUUGAUGCCAAAAACAUGAUGGCCGCUUCAGAUCCAAGACAUGGUCGAUACCUGACCGUAGCUGCUUACUUUAGGGGUAAAGUCUCAAUGAAAGAAGUCGAAGAGAACAUGCUCUCUGUUCAAAGCAAAAACUCGAAUUAUUUUGUUGAAUGGAGUCA
RNAcentral lists this unclassified non-coding RNA (784 nucleotides) under Austropuccinia psidii. Its description in RNAcentral is "partial contains beta-tubulin gene". Lineage: Eukaryota; Fungi; Basidiomycota; Pucciniomycetes; Pucciniales; Sphaerophragmiaceae. The record is from RNAcentral.